Poecilia reticulata (guppy) is the source of this 407-nucleotide non-coding RNA. The record is from RefSeq and is a predicted model, not a curated record. NCBI's taxonomy places the organism in Eukaryota, Metazoa, Chordata, Actinopteri, Cyprinodontiformes, Poeciliidae.
CUCAUGCUGACGUGACGCUUUUUCUCCUAAAAACAUUUAAAACAUUGGUGCGUCAGCAAAAAUAAAGACACUCUGGAAUGUUAUUUCCUGAGCAAGCAGAUAAGAAGACUCUUGUAAACCAAACAGCAGCGACACUUUGGUUCCCAGUGGACGGCACGGAGAACAACAGGAAGCAAUCAUUUGACCAGAUUGGAGGCAGACGGUCGGCCUGUGCCCCCGGACUGCGAGCUUUGUGAAACCUUUACUGUCAAAAUGAAAAUAAAUGAGUUUAAGGAGCCGGAGAAAGAAAAGACGCAGAGUGAUAAUGAUGCAGCUUACUCAAGAAUGGGCGUGAACGCGGGUAAAGCACUGUGCCAACAUUGCACACAACUGGAGCUAAACCUGUGAAUUAUGAGCAAGCCACCAUG